AUUCCUACGGGAGGCAGCAGUAGGGAAUAUUGGUCAAUGGGCGGAAGCCUGAACCAGCCAUGCCGCGUGCAGGAUGACGGCCUUCUGGGUUGUAAACUGCUUUUAUACAGGAAGAAAAGGGUCAUGCGUGAUCGAUUGACGGUACUGUGUGAAUAAGCACCGGCUAACUCCGUACCAGCAGCCGCGGUAAUACGGAGGGUGCAAGCGUUGUCCGGAUUUAUUGGGUUUAAAGGGUGCGUAGGCGGGUUAUUAAGUCAGUGGUGAAAGUCUGCGGCUCAACCGCAGGAGUGCCAUUGAUACUGGUAGUCUUGAGUACAGUAGAGGUAGGCGGAAUUUAUGGUGUAGCGGUGAAAUGCAUAGAUACCAUAAAGAACACCGAUAGCGAAGGCAGCUUACUAUACUGUAACUGACGCUGAGGCACGAAAGCGUGGGGAUCGAACAGGAUUAGAUACCCUGGUAGUCCACGCUGUAAACGAUGAAGACUCGCUGUUGGCGAUAUACAGCCAGUGGCCAAGCGAAAGCGUUAAGUCUUCCACCUGGGGAGUACGACCGCAAGGUUGAAACUCAAAGGAAUUGACGGAAU
Molecule: ribosomal RNA, 583 nt
Filed under: uncultured bacterium
Lineage: Bacteria
Description: bacterial SSU rRNA
Rfam family: Bacterial small subunit ribosomal RNA
Source: RNAcentral